RNAcentral lists this ribosomal RNA (253 nucleotides) under uncultured bacterium. RNAcentral's name for it is "partial 16S ribosomal RNA". It matches the Rfam family "Bacterial small subunit ribosomal RNA", at positions 524 to 776 of the family's 1533-position model. The record is from RNAcentral.
UACGUAGGGUGCAAGCGUUGUCCGGAAUUAUUGGGCGUAAAGAGCUCGUAGGCGGCUUGUCAAGUCGCGUGUGAAAGCCCCCGGCUCAACUGGGGAGGGUCACGCGAUACUGAUCGACUCGAAGGCAGGAGAGGGUAGUGGAAUUCCCGGUGUAGUGGUGAAAUGCGUAGAUAUCGGGAGGAACACCAGUGGCGAAGGCGACUACCUGGCCUGUUCUUGACGCUGAGGCGCGAAAGCUAGGGGAGCAAACGGG